AUGAUUGAAAAAUAUGGGCUCGAUAAGAAUACAUUCCUGACCCAGCUUUACGAGGUGAGGGGGAAGUGGGCAAAGCCAUACUUCAUGGGCGUGUUCUGUGCAAAGAUGACAAGCACACAACAAAGCGAGAGCACAAACCACCUUCUGAAAGCCUAUGUACCACCCGGGUACCCCAUGCACUUGUUCAUCCGACAAUAUGAGAAGAUGCAAUUUGACCGCGAUUCGGAAGAAAGUUACCAGGAGAAAAGGACAAAACUAGGCGGGAUUGUCCUGAAGCAAAAUAUCCCAAUUGAGGUGCAUGCCUCACAGGUUUAUACCAGGAUAAUGUUUGAGAAAUUUGAUGAAGCACUGUAUGAAUGUGGGUCGUAUGAU
Molecule: ribosomal RNA, 372 nt
Filed under: Triticum aestivum (bread wheat)
Lineage: Eukaryota; Viridiplantae; Streptophyta; Magnoliopsida; Poales; Poaceae
Description: partial small subunit ribosomal RNA
Source: RNAcentral